RNAcentral lists this ribosomal RNA (1052 nucleotides) under Motyxia tiemanni. RNAcentral describes it as "partial large subunit ribosomal RNA". Lineage: Eukaryota; Metazoa; Arthropoda; Diplopoda; Polydesmida; Xystodesmidae. The record is from RNAcentral.
UAGGUUAUAGGUGUUUAUUGUUGUUAUUUUAAUAUAUUGGAUUAGUAUAGUGAGUGAUAGUUAUGGGGUUUUUAUAGUUUAUUUAGUACAGUUAUGGAAUUAUUUUUAUUUCUAUUAAAUUUAGGUUGUUUAAUACCUUUUGUAUUAGGGUUCUUUUAUGUUAGUAUAUAUUAAUAGUUUCUCGAUAAAUAUCGGGCUAUUUUAUUAGUUUGAAUCUCGUUGUAUAGGGUUUAUUUAUGGUAAAAUAGUUAUGAAAUAUUAUUCAAGUUAUUUUGUAUCUAGUUCUUUUAGAGGUGUAAUAGAGUAUAUAUUUAUAUUGAAGUUAUGCAGGGAUUAGCUUGUGUAUUAUUUAUAUAAUGUUAGUGUUUUUAUUUAUUUGUGAUGUUAGAAGUUCUUAUUUUUAUGGUAUUAUUACUGAAUAAGUUAUAUUUAUUAUUUUUUUUAUUUAUGAUAAAAUGAGAGAUGUUAUGUUAAUUUUGGUUGUUAUGGUAUAAUGAUGAUAUUAGUAAUUUUAUUAUUUAUUUUUUAUUGAUUUAAAUUUAGGUAUGGUAAUUUAUGUGGGAAUUAGCAAUGAAGAAUUCGGCAAAGAUGACUUUUGACUGUUUAGCAAAAACAUUGUUUUUUGUUUAAAUAAGAAAUAAUUUCUGCCCACUGCUGUUGUGGUAAAGGGCUGCAGUAUUUUGACUGUAUGAAGGUAGCAUAAUCAUUAGCUUUUUAAUUGGGAGCUGGUAUGAAGGGGAAACAGAGGUUUGCUGUUUUAUUGUUAUUUAAUGAAUUUUAUUUUUAUGUGAAAAAUCAUAAGUAUAGUAAUGGGACAAGAAGACCCUAGUAAGUUUUAUUUUUAUUUUUAAUGCAUGUAUAGGUAAUAAUUAGCGUAAUUUAUUUUUGGGAAUUUGGCUGGGGCGGCAGAUUAUUAAACGUGAUUUAUUGUUUAACUUUAUGUUGACGAUUUAUUGACCUAGGAGGUUUAGUUGAGUGAAAAAUUACUGUAGGGAUAACAGCGUAAUUUUUUUUAAGAGUUCUUAUUAACAGAAAAGUUUGCGACCUCGAUG